Molecule: ribosomal RNA, 468 nt
Filed under: uncultured bacterium
Lineage: Bacteria
Description: partial 16S ribosomal RNA
Rfam family: Bacterial small subunit ribosomal RNA
Source: RNAcentral
GACGAACGCUGGCGGCGUGCUUAACACAUGCAAGUCGAACGGAAAGGCCCUGCCUUUGUGGGGUGCUCGAGUGGCGAACGGGUGAGUAACACGUGAGUAACCUGUCCCUGCCUUUGGGAUAACUUCAGGAAACUGGGGCUAAUACCGGAUAGGAUCUCCCGCUGCUUGGUGGGCGUUGGAAAGUUUCGGCGGUUGGGGAUGGACUCGCGGCUUAUCAGCUUGGUGGGGUGGUAGUGGCUUACCAAGGCUUUGACCGGUAGCCGGCCUGAGAGGGUGACCUGCCACGUUGCGCCUGGAGUGCGGCACAGCCUCCUACGGGACGCGGCGGUGGAGAAUAUUGCACGAUGGGCGGGAGGCUGAUGCAACCACGCCGCGUGCGGGAUGACGGCCUUCGGGUUGUAAUCCGCUUCCGCCUGUGACGAGACGUGAGUGACGGUAAUGGGUAAAGAAGCUCCGGCUAACUACGUG